Molecule: unclassified non-coding RNA, 400 nt
Filed under: uncultured fungus
Lineage: Eukaryota; Fungi
Description: sequence contains ITS1
Source: RNAcentral
GUCGCCCACACAGGCGGUCGGAUGGCCAUCGUGCAGCAGCUCUCGAACGUCAUCGCCGCAGGCGCGCAUGACCUCGAACCAGCGCUGCGCGAUCUUGCCCAGUUCACCGGGAUGCCUUUGCAUCCAGGCCUCGAUACCUGGAUCGUGCCUGACCGCAGUGGGGAACCGCAUGAGUCGGCUCAUGCAUAGAGGCUACAAUGCCCCGGCAGUCAAAGGAACAAAAUCAUGCGCUACCUUGCGUUGCUGCUGCUCGCCUUCUUCGCGCCGGCCGCUUUCGCCCAAGCAAGCCUGAACGCACCUCCGGCCGUUCGCGCGGGUGCGCCGGUGCAAAUCACCGUCGCGGGCUCGAAGGAUCCGCGGGACUUCGUGACCAUCGUGCCCAAGGGCAGUCGCGAGGGCG